UCCUGAUGUUAGCGGCGGACGGGUGAGUAACACGUGGGUAACCUGCCUGUAAGACUGGGAUAACUCCGGGAAACCGGGGCUAAUACCGGAUGGUUGUCUGAACCGCAUGGUUCAGACAUAAAAGGUGGCUUCGGCUACCACUUACAGAUGGACCCGCGGCGCAUUAGCUAGUUGGUGAGGUAACGGCUCACCAAGGCGACGAUGCGUAGCCGACCUGAGAGGGUGAUCGGCCACACUGGGACUGAGACACGGCCCAGACUCCUACGGGAGGCAGCAGUAGGGAAUCUUCCGCAAUGGACGAAAGUCUGACGGAGCAACGCCGCGUGAGUGAUGAAGGUUUUCGGAUCGUAAAGCUCUGUUGUUAGGGAAGAACAAGUGCCGUUCAAAUAGGGCGGCACCUUGACGGUACCUAACCAGAAAGCCACGGCUAACUACGUGCCAGCAGCCGCGGUAAUACGUAGGUGGCAAGCGUUGUCCGGAAUUAUUGGGCGUAAAGGGCUCGCAGGCGGUUUCUUAAGUCUGAUGUGAAAGCCCCCGGCUCAACCGGGGAGGGUCAUUGGAAACUGGGGAACUUGAGUGCAGAAGAGGAGAGUGGAAUUCCACGUGUAGCGGUGAAAUGCGUAGAGAUGUGGAGGAACACCAGUGGCGAAGGCGACUCUCUGGUCUGUAACUGACGCUGAGGAGCGAAAGCGUGGGGAGCGAACAGGAUUAGAUACCCUGGUAGUCCACGCCGUAAACGAUGAGUGCUAAGUGUUAGGGGGUUUCCGCCCCUUAGUGCUGCAGCUAACGCAUUAAGCACUCCGCCUGGGGAGUACGGUCGCAAGACUGAAACUCAAAGGAAUUGACGGGGGCCCGCACAAGCGGUGGAGCAUGUGGUUUAAUUCGAAGCAACGCGAAGAACCUUACCAGGUCUUGACAUCCUCUGACAAUCCUAGAGAUAGGACGUCCCCUUCGGGGGCAGAGUGACAGGUGGUGCAUGGUUGUCGUCAGCUCGUGUCGUGAGAUGUUGGGUUAAGUCCCGCAACGAGCGCAACCCUUGAUCUUAGUUGCCAGCAUUCAGUUGGGCACUCUAAGGUGACUGCCGGUGACAAACCGGAGGAAGGUGGGGAUGACGUCAAAUCAUCAUGCCCCUUAUGACCUGGGCUACACACGUGCUACAAUGGACAGAACAAAGGGCAGCGAAACCGCGAGGUUAAGCCAAUCCCACAAAUCUGUUCUCAGUUCGGAUCGCAGUCUGCAACUCGACUGCGUGAAGCUGGAAUCGCUAGUAAUCGCGGAUCAG
This 1282-nucleotide ribosomal RNA is filed under the name Bacillus subtilis. Its description in RNAcentral is "bacterial SSU rRNA". It matches the Rfam family "Bacterial small subunit ribosomal RNA", at positions 84 to 1352 of the family's 1533-position model. The record is from RNAcentral. Lineage: Bacteria; Bacillati; Bacillota; Bacilli; Caryophanales; Bacillaceae.